GAUGAACGCUGGCGGCGUGCCUAAUACAUGCAAGUCGAGCGAAUGGAUUAAGAGCUUGCUCUUAUGAAGUUAGCGGCGGACGGGUGAGUAACACGUGGGUAACCUGCCCAUAAGACUGGGAUAACUCCGGGAAACCGGGACUAAUACCGGAUAACAUUUUGAACCGCAUGGUUCGAAAUUGAAAGGCGGCUUCGGCUGUCACUUAUGGAUGGACCCGCGUCGCAUUAGCUAGUUGGUGAGGUAACGGCCAACCAAGGCAACGAUGCGUAGCCGACCUGAGAGGGUGAUCGGCCACACUGGGACUGAGACACGGCCCAGACUCCUACGGGAGGCAGCAGUAGGGAAUCUUCCGCAAUGGACGAAAGUCUGACGGAGCAACGCCGCGUGAGUGAUGAAGGCUUUCGGGUCGUAAGACUCUGUUGUUAGGGAAGAACAAGUGCUAGUUGAAUAAGCUGGCACCUUGACGGUACCUAACCAGAAAGCCACGGCUAACUACGUGCCAGCCGCCGCCGUAA
RNAcentral lists this ribosomal RNA (515 nucleotides) under uncultured bacterium. Its description in RNAcentral is "partial 16S ribosomal RNA". It matches the Rfam family "Bacterial small subunit ribosomal RNA", at positions 28 to 523 of the family's 1533-position model. The record is from RNAcentral.